RNAcentral lists this transfer RNA (86 nucleotides) under Gammaproteobacteria bacterium. RNAcentral's name for it is "tRNA-Leu". It matches the Rfam family "tRNA". From Rfam's summary of the family: Transfer RNA (tRNA) molecules are approximately 80 nucleotides in length. Their secondary structure includes four short double-helical elements and three loops (D, anti-codon, and T loops). Further hydrogen bonds mediate the characteristic L-shaped molecular structure. tRNAs have two regions of fundamental functional importance: the anti-codon, which is responsible for specific mRNA codon recognition, and the 3' end, to which the tRNAs corresponding amino acid is attached (by aminoacyl-tRNA synthetases). tRNAs cope with the degeneracy of the genetic code in two manners: having more than one tRNA (with a specific anti-codon) for a particular amino acid; and 'wobble' base-pairing, i.e. permitting non-standard base-pairing at the 3rd anti-codon position. RNAcentral also lists the same sequence under 7 other names. The record is from RNAcentral. Lineage: Bacteria; Pseudomonadati; Pseudomonadota; Gammaproteobacteria.
GCCCCGGUGGUGAAAUUGGUAGACACAAGGGAUUUAAAAUCCCUCGGCCUAUGGCUGUGCCGGUUCGACUCCGGCCCGGGGCACCA